AUUGUUUUAAACUCAACUUGCAUAAGUCAAUAAAUGUUUGAUAUAAAGAGUAAUAAAAAAGAACAACUGAGCAGGAACUGUUUUUAGCACUUUAUGGGAAGGAAAACAUGCUUGGGGGAUAGCAAGGUCGUUUCCUGGCUGAAGUUGCUGCUUGUUUGUAUGAACCUGAUUGCUUGAUUCUUACAUCAUGUUCUGUGAAGCUUCAUUCCUGAUCCAGUGUGUUUUGGGAUCUUUUGGGGAGUUUUCGAGGAUAAACGCUUAACGGAUGAAUAUUUGCAUUCAUACGCUUCGGCUACUCACCGCUGCAGCAAAUCCACGCAGCAGUACUGCAAACAGACCACUUCCCAUCUGCAGCCGGACAGCUUGUGGUUAAGUGCCCUUCAGGCUCGUCUUCCUGAAGCACUUCUCAAGUUGGUGUCCUUCAAGUCAGACUGUACCUGUAUCAGACUGUAACGUUAUUUCGCAGUAGGAAUUACACUUAAUGCAAUCGUGCCGUGACCCGUAAUGGCUGUGAAGCUGGAUUCUCAACAUCUGGGCCCCUGGGUGUCAUCCGCAAAAUUCAAUUACUUGCCCUAGCUGAAGAAUAUUUAAUCGUGCGCUGAUCAGGCAGAAAGCUCCAGCUUUCAGUCGGACGUCCACACCACCUUGCAGAGCAUGAUGCUGAGGCCAUCCAAAGGCUUGAUCUUCAUGGGCGUUAUUCUGUGGCGUUACCAGAGCUCAUGAAGUAUCACUCCUCCCAGUCUACACGACCAGCUUGUUAUGUGUCAAAAUAAGAGUCGGUUCAAAAACCAUUUUGACAACUGUAGGUCAUCGCUGCAUUCGGGACACAUCCAGUGCGGCCAGCCGUUUACAUGGAUUUCAUUCAUUGUUUUUCACUAGGUGCUGAAAUUUGGGAAACUUGGUUUGCCCUGGUCAUGUGUUCCCACUUGGUAGUCACCCUGACAACAGUGCCUUGCUGUCACCUGUUCCUGUAAGUGGUGUUAUCCUUGAAACCUGAUAUAUCUUAAUCAUAUGGCUUUGUGAUCAUGCUGGUCCAGGAUGGGAGGGCGGGGCUUUAGUCAGCUGACCUUAGAUCCUUACAGGUUUUUUUCCUCCCAAUUUCUGAGUUUUUGGUUCCUGUCCUCCAUGUCUUCUGCCAUUCUUGCUUUCCAUCUUCCCUUGUCCCAGUCUCGUGUACUAUUCCGCAUAAAUAACCAGAUGGCGACACACCCUUGUCCAGCACCUAGGGGUGACUAAAAUUCCCUUAUUUCCUUUUGUUUUGAACUGUCUUGUCUUUCACUGCACUGCUGUUAUGUCUUUACUGCACUGUUGUUGGUCCUACUGUCCCCCCAUAUACUGGGUCCCUCCCCUGCAACUGUAGCAAAAGAAUUUCACUGUGCUUCUCGGAACACGUGACAAUGAAACCUGAUCAGUCAUUUCUGUGCUCUCUGCUUUGGCCAAUCUGGAACACUGGGCCCAUGUUGAUGAUUGUCCCCAUAUGUGUGCUGAGGGAUGGAAUGAUAACAGCACG
Brienomyrus brachyistius is the source of this 1510-nucleotide long non-coding RNA. RefSeq lists it as uncharacterized. The record is from RefSeq and is a predicted model, not a curated record. The transcript is spliced from 3 exons. Lineage: Eukaryota; Metazoa; Chordata; Actinopteri; Osteoglossiformes; Mormyridae.